UACGUAGGGUGCGAGCGUUGUCCGGAAUUAUUGGGCGUAAAGGGCUCGUAGGCGGUUUGUCGCGUCGGGAGUGAAAACCUUGGGCUUAACUCAGGGCUUGCUUUCGAUACGGGCAGACUAGAGGUAUGCAGGGGAGAACGGAAUUCCUGGUGUAGCGGUGAAAUGCGCAGAUAUCAGGAGGAACACCAGCGGCGAAGGCGCCGCUCUGGGCCGUAACUGACGCUGAGGAGCGAAAGCAUGGGUAGCAAACGGG
This 253-nucleotide ribosomal RNA is filed under the name uncultured bacterium. RNAcentral's name for it is "partial 16S ribosomal RNA". It matches the Rfam family "Bacterial small subunit ribosomal RNA", at positions 524 to 776 of the family's 1533-position model. The record is from RNAcentral.